Molecule: ribosomal RNA, 352 nt
Filed under: uncultured eukaryote
Lineage: Eukaryota
Description: SSU rRNA
Rfam family: Eukaryotic small subunit ribosomal RNA
Source: RNAcentral
AUAGCGUAUAUUAAAGUUGUUGCGGUUAAAAAGCUCGUAGUUGGAUCUCGGUGCCGGACCGGCGGUCCGCCUCGUGCGGUCUCACUGCCGGCCCCGGAGCCAUCCCGCCGGCCGUCCCUCGGUGCUCUUCGCUGAGUGUCUUGGGUGACCGGAACGUUUACUUUGAACAAAUUAGAGUGCUCCAAGCAGGCGAGCAAAGCCUGAAUAGCCCAGCAUGGAAUAAUGGAAUAGGACCUCGGUUCUAUUUUGUUGGUUUUCGGAACCCGAGGUAAUGAUUAACAGGGACAGACGGGGGCAUUCGUAUUGCGACGCUAGAGGUGAAAUUCUUGGACCGUCGCAAGACGAACUACUG